This 468-nucleotide ribosomal RNA is filed under the name uncultured bacterium. RNAcentral describes it as "partial 16S ribosomal RNA". It matches the Rfam family "Bacterial small subunit ribosomal RNA", at positions 28 to 507 of the family's 1533-position model. The record is from RNAcentral.
GACGAACGCUGGCGGCGUGCUUAACACAUGCAAGUCGAACGGACAGGCCCGGCUUUUGUGGGGUGGACGAGUGGCGAACGGGUGAGUAACACGUGAGUAACCUGCCCUUGACUUUGGGAUAACUUUAGGAAACUGCGGCUAAUACCGGAUAGGAUCUCCUGAUGCAUGGUGUGGGGUGGAAAGUUUCGGCGGUUGGGGAUGGACUCGCGGCUUAUCAGCUUGUUGGUGGGGUAGUGGCGUACCAAGGCUUUGACGGAUAGCCGGCCUGAGAGGGUGACCAGCCACAUUGCGACUGAGAGACGGCGCAGACGCGUACGGGAGGCAGCGGGGGGAAAUAUUACAGAGCGAGCGGAAGACUGAGGCAGCAACGCCGCGUGCGGAAUGACGGCCUUCUGGUUAUAAACCGCUGUCGACUGUAACGAAGCGUGAUUGACGGUACUGGGUAAAGAAGCACCGGCUAACUACGUG